CCUACGGGAGGCUGCAGUAGGGAAUCUUCCACAAUGGGCGAAAGCCUGAUGGAGCAACGCCGCGUGGGUGAAGAAGGUCUUCGGAUCGUAAAACCCUGUUGUUAGAGAAGAAAGUGCGUGAGAGUAACUGUUCACGUUUCGACGGUAUCUAACCAGAAAGCCACGGCUAACUACGUGCCAGCAGCCGCGGUAAUACGUAGGUGGCAAGCGUUAACCGGAUUUAUUGGGCGUAAAGGGAACGCAGGCGGUCUUUUAAGUCUGAUGUGAAAGCCUUCGGCUUAACCGGAGUAGUGCAUUGGAAACGGGGAGACUGGAGUGCAGAAGAGGAGAGUGAAACUCCAUGUGUAGCGGUGAAAUGCGUAGAUAUAGGGAAGAACACCAGUGGCGAAAGCGGCUCUCUGGUCUGUAACUGACGCUGAGGUUCGAAAGCGUGGGUAGCAAACAGGAUUAGAUACCCUAGUAGUC
This 465-nucleotide ribosomal RNA is filed under the name uncultured bacterium. RNAcentral describes it as "partial 16S ribosomal RNA". It matches the Rfam family "Bacterial small subunit ribosomal RNA", at positions 338 to 795 of the family's 1533-position model. The record is from RNAcentral.